UACGUAGGGUGCGAGCGUUAAUCGGAAUUACUGGGCGUAAAGUGUGCGCAGGCGGCCGAGCAAGUCGAGUGUGAAAGCCCCGGGCUUAACUUGGGAAUUGCGCUCGAAACUACUUGGCUGGAGUGUGGCAGAGGAAGGUGGAAUUCCAGGUGUAGCGGUGAAAUGCGUAGAGAUCUGGAGGAACACCGGUGGCGAAGGCGGCUUCCUGGACCGACACUGACGCUGAGGCGCGAAAGCUAGGGGAGCAAACGGG
Molecule: ribosomal RNA, 253 nt
Filed under: uncultured bacterium
Lineage: Bacteria
Description: partial 16S ribosomal RNA
Rfam family: Bacterial small subunit ribosomal RNA
Source: RNAcentral